Long non-coding RNA from Mirounga angustirostris (Northern elephant seal), 1151 nucleotides. RefSeq lists it as uncharacterized. NCBI's taxonomy places the organism in Eukaryota, Metazoa, Chordata, Mammalia, Carnivora, Phocidae. The transcript has 3 exons. The record is from RefSeq and is a predicted model, not a curated record.
GAGAAUUAUUUUUUUAAAGAUAUUUAUUUAUUUAUUUCAGAGAGAGAGCACAAGCGGUGUCUGGUGGAAGGACAGAGGGAGAGAGGCAGACUUCCCGCCAAGCAGGGAGCCCGAUGAGGGGACCCCAAGAUCAUGACCCGAGAUCAUGACCUGAGGACCCCGAGAUCGAGACCUGAGCCAAAGGCAAAUGCUUAACCGACUGAGCCACCCAGGAGGACUUCCCAUGUCAGUACUACGGAACUUGCCUAUUGUUUUAUCAGUACAUAGCACGCCAUUGUGAGGACAUACUGGAGUGGAUUCAACUAGUCCGCCAUCAAUGUUCAGACUUUUUUUAUUGUUCAGCUUUUGUCUGAGGAAUGAAACAUCCUCGCUAAUAUGAAGAUCAGGUCGGUAUUUGUGGGGGCCAGCAGCGGAGUUCACAAAACUGUUUUUAAGUUUCCUUCCCAUUAGUAAAAUGUUUUCAGAAAUUCAGGAUUUCAGGGGUCAAGCCAUUUGAUUUUAAAUAUUUCUCUAGUUUUCCUCACUCUAGGGCACAAGUACUAGAUUCUGAGGACUUUGUGCUACUGUUCGUUUGAUGAUAUACUACUGCGCCUUCUGCCUAUAAUUUAUAAUUCUAUAAAGUUAUUUGGCUACUACUUCUAUAAUGGUAGCAAUUUAAUGAAUCUGCGGCAUGUUAUUUAUCUCACUGAUGUCUUUGCAUGUAAAUAAUAUUGAUGCUUUUAAGGCUGUGGAGAAUUUUCAGUUUGAUGCUGCAUCAGUUCCAACAUAUUCUACAGUUUUAUCAGAAAACUGGUUCAGGGCGCCUGGGUGGCUCAGUCGGUUAAGCAUCUGCCUUUGGCUCAGGUCAUGAUCCCGGGAUCCUGGGAUCGAGCCCCGUGUUUGGCUCCCUGCUCAGCAGGGAGUCGGCUUCUCCCUCUCCCUCUGCCUGCCGCCCCCCCAGCCCACGCUCAUGCUUUCUCUCUUUCUUUCUCUCAAAUAAAUAAAUAAAAUCCUAAAAAAAAAAAAAAAAGAAAACUGGUUCAGAGAAUAGACACCAAUUUUAUGGCCAGGCAGCAUAUAAACACAGCAAUAGUAACUCAGACAAUCACACAGACAUGCGCAUCACGGAGUUAAAAUCUUAUUUUAAAAUCUCUGGGAACCUUCUGUGGACA